UACGUAGGUCCCGAGCGUUGUCCGGAUUUAUUGGGCGUAAAGCGAGCGCAGGCGGUUUGAUAAGUCUGAAGUAAAAGGCUGUGGCUUAACCGUAGUACGCUUUUGAAACUGUCAAACUUGAGUGCAGAAGGGGGGAGUGGAAUUCCAUGUGUAGCGGUGAAAUGCGUAGAUAUAUGGAGGAACACCGGUGGCGAAAGCGACUCUCUGGCUUGUAACUGACGCUGAGGCUCGAAAGCGUGGGGAGCAAACAGG
RNAcentral lists this ribosomal RNA (252 nucleotides) under uncultured bacterium. Its description in RNAcentral is "partial 16S ribosomal RNA". It matches the Rfam family "Bacterial small subunit ribosomal RNA", at positions 524 to 776 of the family's 1533-position model. The record is from RNAcentral.